GAGUUUGAUCCUGGCUCAGAGCGAACGUUAGCGGCGGGCCUAACACAUGCAAGUCGAACGAGAAAGCGGCUUCGGCCGUGAGUAAAGUGGCGGACGGGUGAGUAACACGUGGAUAAUCUACCUUUCAGCGGGGAUAACAGUCCGAAAGGAUUGCUAAUACCGCAUACGUCGGCUGGGGAUACCCGGUCGGAAAGCAGCCCUCUUUCACGAACGGUUGCACUGAAAGAUGAGUCCGCGUCCCAUCAGCUAGUUGGUAGGGUAAUGGCCUACCAAGGCGAAGACGGGUAGCUGGUCUGAGAGGAUGAUCAGCCACACUGGAACUGAGACACGGUCCAGACUCUACGGGAGCAGCAGUGGGAAUAUUGGGCAAUGGGCGCAAGGCCUGACCCAGCCACGCCGCGUGAGUGAUGAAGGCCUU
This 418-nucleotide ribosomal RNA is filed under the name uncultured delta proteobacterium. Its description in RNAcentral is "bacterial SSU rRNA". It matches the Rfam family "Bacterial small subunit ribosomal RNA", at positions 9 to 418 of the family's 1533-position model. The record is from RNAcentral. Lineage: Bacteria; Deltaproteobacteria.